UACGGGGGGGGCAAGCGUUGUUCGGAAUUACUGGGCGUAAAGGGCGCGUAGGCGGCCGACUAAGUCGGGUGUGAAAGCCCAGGGCUCAACCCUGGAAGUGCACUCGAAACUGACCGGCUUGAAUAUGGAAGAGGGUCGCGGAAUUCCCGGUGUAGAGGUGAAAUUCGUAGAUAUCGGGAGGAACACCAGUGGCGAAGGCGGCGACCUGGGCCAAUAUUGACGCUGAGGUGCGAAAGCGUGGGGAGCAAACAGG
RNAcentral lists this ribosomal RNA (253 nucleotides) under uncultured bacterium. Its description in RNAcentral is "partial 16S ribosomal RNA". It matches the Rfam family "Bacterial small subunit ribosomal RNA", at positions 524 to 776 of the family's 1533-position model. The record is from RNAcentral.